GCUAGCGGCGAUAGCACGCUGAAUGCUGCACCAUUUUCCCAUGGGUCACUGAAAUUAAGCAACGUUGCGCGUGGUUAGUAUCCUGGGUGAUCAUUGGGGUAAUCGGGUGCUUCUGGCU
This 118-nucleotide ribosomal RNA is filed under the name Diaphorina citri (Asian citrus psyllid). Lineage: Eukaryota; Metazoa; Arthropoda; Insecta; Hemiptera; Psyllidae. The record is from RNAcentral.